AAGUCGUAACAAGGUUUCCGUAGGUGAACCUGCGGAAGGAUCAUUAACGAAUAACUAUGGUGUCUUGGUUGUAGCUGGCUCCUCGGAGCAAUGUGCACGCCCGCCAUUUUUAUCUUUCCACCUGUGCACCGACUGUAGGUCUGGAUGACUCUCGUACUCCGGUGCGGAUGCGAGGAUUGCUCUCGGGCUCUCCUCGAAUUUCCAGACUCUACGUCUUUUUACACACCCCAAACGUAUGAUACAGAAUGUAGUCAAUGGGCUUGAUCGCCUAUAAGACACUAUACAACUUUCAGCAACGGAUCUCUUGGCUCUC
Molecule: unclassified non-coding RNA, 313 nt
Filed under: Coprinellus micaceus
Lineage: Eukaryota; Fungi; Basidiomycota; Agaricomycetes; Agaricales; Psathyrellaceae
Description: partial internal transcribed spacer region
Rfam family: Eukaryotic small subunit ribosomal RNA (bases 1-46)
Source: RNAcentral